CCUGGUGUCCCCAGGUCUAAAUCAGGCCCUGAUUAGAGGGGAAUAACCCACCUGGUGUCCCAGGUCUAAAUCAGUCCCUGAUUAGAGGGGAACAGUGACGCUGGCUUGGAGCUCCAGGGUCCUAGAGGUCAUAGCUGUUCUACAUGUUAUUCUAUGGGCUUUAAUCAGUCAGGAUCGGCUGCUUUCAUCUCCAGUGUGUUUUGCUGUACAGCAGGUUUCUCAAACUCGGUCCCGGGGUCCCCUCUUGGGUACAACGUUUUGGUUGUUGUCCUAGCACGACACAGCUGACUGAAAUUACAACUAAAACAUGUACACACACACACACACACACACACACACACACACACACACACACACACACACACACACACACACGUGUGUCUGCCCUUGUAUGGGCGGUGUAGUGUCUAUAUAUAAGGGCUAAAGGAGAUCUGUUGGAUCAUGUAGCAACAACCAGCUUAUAAAAGUCAAUGAAUCAUGUUGAUGUUACAGGUCCUCUCUGCACCUCCACUUCAUGCUGAUGUUACAGGUCCUCUCUGCACCUCCACUUCAUGCUGAUGUUACAGGUCCUCUCUGCACCUCCACUUCAUGCUGAUGUUACAGCUCUGUCCUAGUCAGAGGAUAAGAGGACGCGAGGAAUGGGCGAAGGAGAGAAGAGGAUGAGGACUGAAGCACAGGAGAGGGAAGAGCAGAGAGACAGGAGAGGAGAGG
RNAcentral lists this long non-coding RNA (711 nucleotides) under Salmo salar (Atlantic salmon). Its description in RNAcentral is "lncRNA (ENSSSAG00000092367.1)". The record is from RNAcentral. Lineage: Eukaryota; Metazoa; Chordata; Actinopteri; Salmoniformes; Salmonidae.